Molecule: ribosomal RNA, 254 nt
Filed under: uncultured bacterium
Lineage: Bacteria
Description: partial 16S ribosomal RNA
Rfam family: Bacterial small subunit ribosomal RNA
Source: RNAcentral
UACGUAGGGUGCGAGCGUUAAUCGGAAUUACUGGGCGUAAAGGGUGCGCAGGCGGUCUCGUAAGCUGAAUGUGAAAGCCCCGGGCUUAACCUAGGAAUGGCAUUCAAGACUGCGAGGCUUCGAGUGCGGCAGAGGGAGGUGGAAUUCCACGUGUAGCAGUGAAAUGCGUAGAGAUGUGGAGGAACACCGAUGGCGAAAGCAACCUCCUGGGCCAGCACUGACGCUCAUGCACGAAAGCGUAGGGAGCAAACAGG